Molecule: ribosomal RNA, 154 nt
Filed under: Salmonella enterica
Lineage: Bacteria; Pseudomonadati; Pseudomonadota; Gammaproteobacteria; Enterobacterales; Enterobacteriaceae
Also listed under: 1 other name
Description: partial 23S ribosomal RNA
Rfam family: Bacterial large subunit ribosomal RNA
Source: RNAcentral
GAAACUUGCCCCGAGAUGAGUUCUCCCUGAGACUUAAAGUCUCCUGAAGGAACGUUGAAGACGACGACGUUGAUAGGCCGGGUGUGUAAGCGCAGCGAUGCGUUGAGCUAACCGGUACUAAUGAACCGUGAGGCUUAACCUUACAACGCCGAAG